RNAcentral lists this transfer-messenger RNA (358 nucleotides) under Oscillospiraceae. RNAcentral's name for it is "JAEDDN01 sp016298065 Standard tmRNA". It matches the Rfam family "transfer-messenger RNA". From Rfam's summary of the family: Bacterial tmRNA, also known as 10Sa RNA or SsrA, is named for its dual tRNA and mRNA-like properties. Its role is to liberate the mRNA from a stalled ribosome. RNAcentral also lists the same sequence under 1 other name. Lineage: Bacteria; Bacillati; Bacillota; Clostridia; Eubacteriales. The record is from RNAcentral.
GGGGGCGUAAAGGUUUCGACGGGGAUUUAGAACUAAUGUAAGCGGGUAGUAUGGGCGAAAAUACUUUAAAAGUCGCAACUUAAAUAUAAACGCUAACGAAAAUAACGAUUUAGCACUUUGCGCAGCUUAAUUUAAGCUGUCCGUGUGAUAAUUCAUACCACGGGCUUUUUCACACGUCAAUUUAGUGGUGAACUUCUUUUAAGAGCGUCUUGACUUAAUUGAGGUUUAAUUAAGACUACCUUCGCUUAUUGCUCGUUUAUCAGCUGUUUGCGUUGGGAAGCUAAACGGUAAACUACACUCGUAGAAAGCAUUACGGACAAAUUUUCGGACAGGGGUUCGACUCCCCUCGCCUCCACCA